This 542-nucleotide ribosomal RNA is filed under the name Candidatus Palauibacter ramosifaciens. RNAcentral describes it as "bacterial SSU rRNA". It matches the Rfam family "Bacterial small subunit ribosomal RNA", at positions 1 to 524 of the family's 1533-position model. The record is from RNAcentral. Lineage: Bacteria; Pseudomonadati; Gemmatimonadota; Gemmatimonadia; Candidatus Palauibacterales; Candidatus Palauibacteraceae.
UAUGGAGAGUUUGAUCCUGGCUCAGGACGAACGCUGGCGGCGUGCCUUACACAUGCAAGUCGUGCGAGAACGGUUCCUUCGGGAACCUAGUAGAGCGGCGAACGGGUGAGUAAUACGUGAGCGAUCUGCCCGAAGGUGGGGGAUACCCCAGGGAAACCUGGACCAAUACCGCGUACAGCGUCGGGAGUGGAUGCCCGACGUGAAAGCCGGCCUCUUCGAUGCUGGCGCCCUCGGAUGAGCUCGCGGCCUAUCAGCUUGUUGGUGGGGUAACGGCCUACCAAGGCUAUGACGGGUAGCUGACGUGAGAGCGUGAUCAGCCACAUUGGGACUGAGACACGGCCCAGACUCCUACGGGAGGCAGCAGUGGGGAAUAUUGCGCAAUGGGCGAAAGCCUGACGCAGCGACGCCGCGUGGGGGAGGAAGGCCCUAGGGUUGUAAACCCCUGUCAGGUGGGACGAACACCUUGUCGGAUAAUACCCGGCAGGACUGACGGUACCACCAGAGGAAGCUCCGGCUAACUCCGUGCCAGCAGCCGCGGUAAU